AAUCAUUAGUCAUCAAUGAUUGUUAGAAAGAUUGAAUUAAAAACAUUUGUCCUAAUAAAUCAUAAUUUGAAAAAGCCAUCAUAAAAAUAUCACCUUCCUAAGUUAAGAAACAUAUCAGCUUGGUUCUUUAAAGGAUUUUUCAGAUUUUUUCCCGUUAAUUUUCUGUGAUUUUUCUUUUUUUAGUAAUGGUGGCAGCCAUAUUGGAUGGUGGUUGGGGUCAUCAACCAAAUUAAAUAUCAUUAAAAGUCACCAAUGCCAUUAUUGUAUCAUUUAGCCAAAGCAUGGUUAUGAUUGAAUUUUCUCAGAAUUAUUCUAUUGCUUAUUUUUUGUAAAUUUAAAAAAAAAUUGAGCAAAAGUAGCAGCACUGUAUAAUGGAGGUCAGCUUUAUCUACCACAAUAUCUAAAGAGCAUCGUUCAGGUAUAAUUGACCCAAAUUUUGCUAGCAUCUAGCCCUGAAUAGAAUUUUUAGAUAUUUUUAAUUUCAAUUUUGUCCUAUUUAAUAAUUUGAUGCUUUUAUGUUGACAAUACACAUUUUCCUACUUCAACAGUAAAUAUUAAACUGUACAAAGAACCGGCAAAAUAACAAAUUCAUUAUUUUGCCAGCAUUGGCAAAAUAGCCAUUACUAUAGAAAUAUGCCAGUAAGCUGGCUUUUUAAAAGAUAUUAUAAACAGAGCCAGCAAAAUAGCCACUGCCUCAGGUAUUAUAGAAACAUGGGUCUUUAGUGAUUAUUCUUAUCAGGAUUCACCAAUCUAGACUUUGGAAGCUUAAUGACCUUCAAAAGAUUUUUCUGGAUUUUUUUAUACAUAUUAUAUUCUAAUGGCAGGUGUCUGUUGUUUCAAAAACAGCUGUGCCAUGAGCGCAUGAUACGCCCGUCGUCUUGUGUGUGAAUUUUUAUGCAAUAAGCAUAAAUUGUUUCUGACAUACGGCGUGACAUGCGAAAACCCCCUUUUUUUUUUACAAAAAACUCAAUAUCUCUAAAAUAAAAUUUUGAAUCAAAACCAAAAAGUAUACAGAUCUUUAAAUUAAUAUAACUAAGAAGUGUGUAAAAUUUUAAGCAAUAAUCAUAAAUCGUUUUUGAGAUACGGCACGACAUGUGAAAAACCCCUCCCCCUUUUUAACAAAAUACUCAAUAUCUCUAAAAUAAAAAUUUUGAAUCAUCACCAAAAAGUAUACAGAUCUUAAGAUUAAUAUCACUACGAAGUGUGUAAAGUUUUAAGCAAUAAUCAUAAAUUGUUUUUGAGAUACAGCGCGACAUGUGAAAAAAACCACACACCUGUUUUAGUUACUAAGUCCCGUAACUCAAAAAGUUUUAAUCUUAUUUUCACCAAAAAGUAUACAGAUCGUUUGACCAUCAUAAGAAACAACUAUGUUAAGUUUCAUGAAAUUUGGAUAAGUCAUUCUCAAGUUACAGUGUGACAUGUUUACGCCAGACAGACAGACGGACGGACGGACACCGGACAUUUGUAUACCAUAAUACGUCCCGUCAAAAAUUGACGAGCAUAUAAAAAUGAAGAGGAAACCACCAGGUAUAAUUUUAAAACUUUACAUCCUAAGGAUAGUUGUAGGAACCACCAGGUAUAAUUUUGAAAUAUUACAUCUUAAGGAUAGUUGUAGGAACCACCAGGUAUAAUUUUAAAACAUUACAUCUUAAGGAUAGUUGUAGGAACCACCAGGUAUAAUUUUGAAAUAUUACAUCUUAAGGAUAGUUGUAGGAACCACCAGGUAUAAUUUUGAAAUAUUACAUCUUAAGGAUAGUUGUAGGAACCACCAGGUAUAAUUUUAAAACAUUACAUCCUAAGGAUAGUUGUAGCCUUCUUAAGGGGGUACUCCACACCUUGGCUAAAAUAGAUCUGGCUAGUUUCAUUUUCAUAAAAUUUUGACAAAAUAUUUAAUUUGACCUGUUGACAAAAAUACAAAAAUUUCAAAAAAUUUGUACCACACAAUUUACAGGAAUAAUUUCAUUGAAUAUAUAGCAGUUCGACAAACACCAAUUUUGAUCGUUGAGAAGCUUGAUUUCUCUUUACUAAUAGUAUGUGAUUAAAACGUUGAGCUAAUUUUUAAAGAGUUAACUCCUUAAAGUGUUCUGUAAACCCUUAAGAUUCAAUUUACUGAUUGGUUUGAGAGGAGAAAAUUUAUGAAAAAACAAAAUGCUUGACAUCUGACACCACAGGCUAAAAGCUAAUACAGGCCCUUUAGGGCAGGUGAGAUAAAAACCUAUGAAUGUCAAAUAAUGACAAUAUGCCAUAUGAACCUUUAGGGUGAGGUAAUCCAAGAAAAUCUAUAUUGCUACAAUUUACCAAUGCUUCCCAGUUGUUUUAAACAUAAACACAAUUAAUAAAAUGUUAAAAAUGCGUUUUAAUGUUGAUACAACUUUUAACACGACAUACAUUUGCAAAAAUAUGUUAAAAAUGAAAUUGUUAAUAAAAUAUAGUGAAAUCUCUCUAUACGUACCUUUAAUGAAAGAGAACACGUGUAAAUACAAGUUGGAAAUUCUGAAGACAGAUGUACAACAUUGUCAUUGUUGGUUUGCUGUCUAUGUCAACCCUAUAUCUUUUAAUUUUUCAUAUCACUUGGAGCAGAUUAUUAAUUGUACUUUCAAUUAAUAAACAUUCAAGAUUAUGAAAUUAUCAGCACUGAUUAUAGUUACGUAUGAUUUAGAGAAAUUUCACAAAUACAUUAAAAUCAAUAUAUAAAAUAAAAUAAA
This is a long non-coding RNA of Mytilus californianus (California mussel), 2705 nucleotides long. RefSeq lists it as uncharacterized. The record is from RefSeq and is a predicted model, not a curated record. The transcript is spliced from 4 exons. Lineage: Eukaryota; Metazoa; Mollusca; Bivalvia; Mytilida; Mytilidae.